Molecule: ribosomal RNA, 409 nt
Filed under: Actinomycetes bacterium
Lineage: Bacteria; Bacillati; Actinomycetota; Actinomycetes
Description: Actinobacteria bacterium partial 16S ribosomal RNA
Rfam family: Bacterial small subunit ribosomal RNA
Source: RNAcentral
UGGGGAAUAUUGCACAAUGGGCGGAAGCCUGAUGCAGCGACGCCGCGUGGGGGAUGAAGGCCUUCGGGUUGUAAACUCCUUUCGACAGGGACGAAGCUUUUGUGACGGUACCUGUAUAAGAAGCACCGGCUAACUACGUGCCAGCAGCCGCGGUAAUACGUAGGGUGCGAGCGUUGUCCGGAAUUACUGGGCGUAAAGAGCUCGUAGGUGGUUUGUCGCGUCGUCUGUGAAAUUCCGGGGCUUAACUCCGGGCGUGCAGGCGAUACGGGCUGACUUGAGUGCUGUAGGGGAGACUGGAAUUCCUGGUGUAGCGGUGAAAUGCGCAGAUAUCAGGAGGAACACCGAUGGCGAAGGCAGGUCUCUGGUCUGUAACUGACGCUGAUGUGCGAAAGCGUGGGGAUCAAACAGG